AAAGAGCCUGACGUGGGGCCCGAUCCCACGACCCUGGGACCAUGACCUGAGCUAAAAUCGAGAGUUGGCCGCUCCACCGACUGAGCCACCCAGGAGCCCUUAGAUGAAGACGAUUUUAAUAACACGGCCAGAACUUGCAAGUGCCUGAGAAUAUUUACAUGGAACGCUGGUCUCUGCAGCGUUUCUGACCUCAGCAGAGCCAUGAGCCUAUCUUUGUCCCGUUAACUUAGCAGAUGUCACACUACGAAAAGUGACAGGGUCGCCAACAGACAGGUUAUCUCUGAGGUUGGUUAACAUGUAGAUCCAGGGCUCCCUGAGGCCCCAGACUUAUUUCCUGGAAAACUCGUAGGUUGAUCAGAGCAGCUGCAGAACUGUGGAAAGUGGUUGGUUUGGAGCACCGUUUCGAGAAGCAGAGCGCGGGCUCGGGACCACGGAGACGCGUGCCAACCCUGACUUCCUGCUCCAUCCCAGGCUGGCCUCUGCGUGUGCCUCUUCAGAGUCUCCUGUCCCCUUCAGGGGGCGCGGGGCUUCAAUGAAGCAGCACGAGGCCCGCAGCCCGCUCAGUUCCUGGCACCGAGUCUGCACUCAGAUGUUAGUCCUAUUCCUACAUUUGCCCCCCUUGGCACUAGAAGGAAACGGGACUGCCCGUGACUUGUCGCUUAGGCCCCGACCCGACUUUCGGGAGCUUCCGCUGCCACCGACCGACACAGCAGGGCAGUGAGAAAUCAUAUGGAGAAGUCUCGUCUGCAAUCUCCCUCUGGAACUUCUGCAGGAAUGGGGGGCAGGUGCACUCACGGAGGCCCAGACAGGAUCCAAGGGUCUCUCCAGUGUUUGGAGUCACAAGGAAGUCGCUCGCUCACUGUAAUCGUCAGGAGAACUAACCUUUGUUGCAAGCACGUGCUUGGAUCGCGACUUGACUCCGGAGUCCGAGCUGAGCGAGUGCUCUGGACAGAGCAAGGGAUUUGGAGCCUCUGGAACCGGGUUCGCAUCCUGGCUCUGCUGUCCACUCGCCCUGAGGCCAGGGACAAGACCCUCGGCGUCUCUGGGCCGCGCCUCCCUCUUCCACAGAAUGGGCCUAGCAGCAGCCCGCACGUAGUGUGGCCCGAAAAGCCCCAGCCUGUGCCGGGCCCUCUGUGGACGGUGAUACGGUGAUUCACCGCUGGUGUAACCGUCCUCGUUAUUUUAUUCCAGAGACCUAGUUGACGCCCUCUCUGGAGUUCUGUCCUUCACACUCCGUGUGAGGAGGCAUCCAUAGGUGUCAGCGGGACGUGCCGAGGGGCUUCUGCCGGGCUUCACCCUCAGCCUCCGGUUUUUGGCUCCUUUGCCGAGCCCUCGCCGUGUCCUGAGCCUUCCGCCAUACGGGCCCGGCAGCCGCAUCCCCUUCGUGGCUUUCCCGGCCCUCGGCAGUUGGGUGGCCCCUGAGCCGCGGGGAGACUCAGAGACUCGGGCAGACCGGGGUCUGUGUCAUUUUACAGACCCUCCGCCAAGAGAGCCAGACGGCGAGAACGCUCGGCGACCACAGGAGAGGCCCCGCAGGUGUGACCUGCUUCUCUGACCCCGGAGAAGCCUGCAGAGGAAGCCGAAAGCGUAAGUCAGACUCCAGGCUUCCCGAACACCGUGUGCCCACGAGUCACCGAGGGGGACCCGCCUGAUUCAGCGGCUCUGGGGGGCCCGGGGGCCCUCGUUCCUGACCGCCUGGCGCCGCACCGCAGACCGCACUCAGGAGCAAAGGUUGGACCGCGUGCGCCACGCUCCGGGGCCCGGCGUUCAGACACGUGGGGGAAGGAGACCCUGAACUUGGCAUCAAACGCUGGUUCAGGUCCACCGAGUGACUCCGGGCAGGCCUCCAACUUCCUGAACUUUUUCUUCCUCAGCAGGAAAAUCGCCCCGACGGUAACCCUCCCACUUACCUCACGGACAGCUCGCGGCUGCGGGGUCUUCCAGACACGGGUGCCAAGCCCAGCCCCGCUUCUCACUGGCCGCGGGAGCUUUGCCCGCCUCUGCUGGCCUCGUUCUCGUCCGCAAAACGGGAGUCGGACCUUACAAAGCCUCUCUGUGGUAAUGGGACAAGUCACGCUCCGGGGUCGGAAGAGGGGUCGGGUGUUUUUAGGGAAAAGGGUGCCAUCAGGGAAGUGUCCUUUAUUUCCCCUCCGGAAAGAGGGUCUGCACCUCGGAGACCGGAAGGGAGGCGUUCGGGGCCGAGGCAGCAGCCAGACCAAAGGUGAGCUGGUGAGCGGCGAGAGGUGGACCGCAUCGCACCCGGGGCAGGAGCAGGGACGCCCUCCCACAGGUGGUGUUGGCAGGAGCUCCCGUCUCCCGGGCCCUCACCCUGAGCAUGGCCUGGCGCUCAGCCUUCUGCACGAUUUCUUGCCCCUCCUCCUCCCAGGGACCCUGGGCACUCGGUCCGUUCUGCGGGUGCGGAUGAGGUUCAAAGAGACGCAUCCCCUUGCACGAGACCACGCGGCUAGAAAGCCCCAGAGACCUCACGGUCCGGUUGGGGAAGAGGCGUAACCGAUCCAAGGAAGAGAUGUCUGAGCACAUACCAUGAUCAUUCGCUCCAGUGCCACACUGUUAGGAUGCCCGCUUCACGGCUGGGAAAACUGAGGUUUGGAGACGGCAGGCCCCUUGUCUGAGGCCCUAGAGUCGGUCAGCGGCAGAGCCAAGAUCCGAACCCUCAUUUGCCACACUCCCAAGCCCUUACCAAGGUCUGAGCAGGCAGAAGAGGGGUGGGAGAGCCUUCCAGACAAUGGGAUCAAGACUGAGCGAAGCCACAGAGGCUGCUCUGUCCCUUAUUCAGAGCCUUCUGCAUCUGGUGCCCCAUCUACCCUUGAGGGGACUGCUGGAAACAGAAUUGCACCCGCUUUGCAGUGAAGGCCCUGCGGGUCUGUAAGGACUUUCUGAGGACCCCAGAGCUCUCGUCUCCUGAGUCCUGGCAAGACCAGGAGAGGUGGCUGUCUGCAGAACGGCACUGUCCCCGGCUACGGAGGUAAUCUGUACACCCAGCAUGGGGCUCGAACUCACAACCCCAAGAU
Molecule: long non-coding RNA, 3032 nt
Organism: Leopardus geoffroyi (Geoffroy's cat)
Lineage: Eukaryota; Metazoa; Chordata; Mammalia; Carnivora; Felidae
Exons: 3
Source: RefSeq, a predicted model, not a curated record